RNAcentral lists this ribosomal RNA (253 nucleotides) under uncultured bacterium. RNAcentral describes it as "partial 16S ribosomal RNA". It matches the Rfam family "Bacterial small subunit ribosomal RNA", at positions 524 to 776 of the family's 1533-position model. The record is from RNAcentral.
GACGUAGGGCGCGAGCGUUGUCCGGAUUUAUUGGGCGUAAAGAGCUCGUAGGCGGCUUGUCGCGUCGACUGUGAAAACCCGCAGCUCAACUGCGGGCCUGCAGUCGAUACGGGCAGACUAGAGUUCGGCAGGGGAGACUGGAAUUCCUGGUGUAGCGGUGAAAUGCGCAGAUAUCAGGAGGAACACCGGUGGCGAAGGCGGGUCUCUGGGCCGAUACUGACGCUGAGGAGCGAAAGCGUGGGGAGCGAACAGG